RNAcentral lists this long non-coding RNA (382 nucleotides) under Androctonus crassicauda. Lineage: Eukaryota; Metazoa; Arthropoda; Arachnida; Scorpiones; Buthidae. The record is from RNAcentral.
GAAACAAUUACUAAACAGUAAAAAAAUUCUUGAUUAAUGUGCUGCGUUCGUGCAUAAUGUUCACGUGUUGUGUUUCGGAUUUACCUUGCCGGUUUUUCUUUGAAGCGUUACCGAUAUUUGAUGACAAAAAUCCAGAGCUCUGCAGCCACCCUCUAUGUUUGGUUGCCUUCGUGCACGCACGCUCUGCAUGCCUGGUAGAACCGGGUCUGAUUAGUAUGCACUUAUAUGGGAUACAAGAUUUGUGCUUCUUACAAUCAUUGUGUGCUGCAUGCAUUUCCUAUUUCAUUUAAUUGCUAAGAAAUUUCAUUAUUUUGAUUGCACUUUUUUAUCUUUCAUCUUGUUAUUUGAAUAUCUUGUAAUAUUUUAAACAAAUGCUUCUGGC